UGGGCUUGAAAAGUACUUGUGUGUGCAUACCUUAUAUGUAAAAAUUAGAGGUUCCGGUGAUAUACUAAUCAUGUGUCAAGCAACAAACCCUAGCAUGAUUGAAGAAUUCAAACGAGCAAUAGCGAAAAAGUUUAAUAUGAUCGAUUUGGAAAUGAUAACAUAUUUCUUGGGAUUGAGAUUGUGAAAAGCUAAGAUGGAAUUUUUCUCUUUCAAAAGAGAUAUGC
RNAcentral lists this long non-coding RNA (224 nucleotides) under Elaeis guineensis (African oil palm). Its description in RNAcentral is "long non-coding RNA (EGUI_LNC031628)". Lineage: Eukaryota; Viridiplantae; Streptophyta; Magnoliopsida; Arecales; Arecaceae. The record is from RNAcentral.